RNAcentral lists this long non-coding RNA (2546 nucleotides) under Crocodylus porosus (Australian saltwater crocodile). RNAcentral's name for it is "lncRNA (ENSCPRG00005000147.1)". Lineage: Eukaryota; Metazoa; Chordata; Crocodylia; Crocodylidae. The record is from RNAcentral.
UGCAUAGAGUUCAAUGACUGAAUUAUUUAUCUCUUAAUUUAGAUCUUGAGAGAGGAUUUUGCUGCUGUAGGAAAGAGGCUUAAAACUUCCAGGAGUAGCCCUUGUUUCCUGUGGUCAGCUUGCAGAAAUGAAUGAUUGCAGUAGAGAGUUGAGCUUGGCUAUGCCAAAGCAAUCCUUGGGACUCGGCUGCCCAUGCGUUCUUGAGUUGGUUGCAAGGCGAGGGCCAGCGGUUGACCAGAUUCUCCCCUCCCGUGCAAAUCCUGCUCUUCCAAAUGCUGGGAAAGCAGCUUUGCCCCAGCUACCUAGGGGAGGCUUUUGCCUUGGCCAGCAGCAGCACGCUGGGAAACGGCACUUGAGGAACGUGUUGGUACCUAGGUACAAAACCUUCCUUGCUCAACGUGAACACACUGCACUGCACUGCCUCCUAAAGAAGACCAAGCUACCCUUCCUAAAGCCUUUCCCAGGGCUUCUCUGCCCUGCAGGGGCCAGAGCACAGGAUGACUGUUGCCUUAACCAGAGGGAAAGAUGCACCUUUGUACACUUCUCCCGUCCCAUGCAACCUCUCACCAGGACAUCUCCCAGCAAGUUGAGACCGAACAGGAACAACCUCCCUGGAGGAGCAGUAGAGCAUAGGAACAGGCAGCCAGCAGCACUGAAGCAUCCUGCCAGUGCAAUGGCACAGAUCCUGCGAGUGCAUGGGGCUACUUGCCUGCCAGUGCCUGGAGGGGAUCUCCCUGUACUGCCGCAGAUCAGAAAAUCAAGGAAAGAGAUCCAUGUCUAUAUACCUAGUGGGGAAGACGGCAUGGAUUGCGAGUCACUAGAUGAAGGGUUUUUGGAAGAUGUGGACAAUAAGCUGAGUUCGUUGAGCCUGCAAGAUGAGAAGUAAAUUUGAUCCUGGAGAAAUUAUUAGUGUCUGGCCUUAAAUGGUGAUGCAGUUACCAUCUCAAAUGUCAUCUGCCACAUGACAGUGUGCCCUAGCAUUUAGCAAUAGAGCCUGUUCUGCAAGAAAUGUAAUGAUGGCAAAUCUAAGGAGGAAAACCCAUGUUUUGUCCAGAGUUUCCUUUGGUGGGAGGUGUCAUCUAGGGGGUGCAUCAUGAUUCAUGAGUUAUAUUUCUGGCCCCAUUCCCAUGUAUUUUCAGGUGAGUUGCUUAAUUUCUCAAUUGCUUUCUCCAUCUGUAAGAUGGGGUGAAGAACACUGGCUGACAGAUCUGAGUCCCUGGUAGCUGAGAAUGGAAGUUGACAGAGAAUCCUCUGGAGAGAAAAUCUCAAUAUUCUUCAGUAAGAGUACAAGGCUAUGUGGCAGUGUUACUCUAGCUUUGUGCAGUGAUGGGCAGGGUCCUGUCUACUGGAGCAUUGAAAGAUGUUGGGGAAUUGUCUGACUGCAUUACAUCUAAGUCUUAUGGUGCCCAGCUAUGUUAGAGGGGCUAGCAUGAGAUGCUGCAGAGGAAGGUGGAUGAAACCCCUGUGGUAGGCAGAUGUGAAACAAUCUGCUCCCAAAUUACUUCUUUAACUCUGGUGACUGGUAUAAGCUCCUCUGGAAAGCAGGCUGUGUGUAUGCUAAGGAGGGGUUCAGAGCAUGUUGAAAUUUUGCUGGAAUUUAGAUCUUUGAGUAAAUUGUAAUUUGGGACUUUAUCAUGUGGUAAUUUAAUCUCCAUUUUAAAUACAUCAGGGCAAAUGAACCCCUUGUGUGAACUCGCUGAGCUCAGCGAUGUUACAGAAGCAAAGCACUUGUCCCUUGCAGCAUAGAAACUAAUCUGUUCCCCCAAAAAACAUAACAUUUCAAUCAGUUGCAGCAUAAAAAAAGAAAAAACAAGACAGAAUUGCAGUCAGGCCUCCAUUCUGUGUAUUGGUAGGUCAGGCUAGACCAACCACUACAUAUGCUCAGGUUCUCAUGGGACCCUGUGAAAUCUAGCACCAUAAUGUCCCUCUGUGGUUUCAGAUGGAGAAAAGAGACCCUUUUCCCCUUUCAAAGAGAAUUUGGAUCAGAGGUUGUUAGGAGCUUCCAGAACACAUGAAAACCUUGGGCUGAAACAUCUACCUUUUCUAAAAACAUGCUGUUGGGGGUGGUUAUUAUUUGAGCUGAAAAAGAAUGGUUUAUUCAAGCAGAUUUCUUCCUGCACUCUCCUGCCCUAUCCUGCCUUAACGAUAGUCCCGGGAGAACUUAUAAUCUUUCAUGUAGGAGCCAGCAAUCUGGUAAGGGGAGACAAGCCUGUGUUAGAAGGAAAAAAGGAAUCGGGUUUCUAGAGUUCAGGAAUCUAUUAUUCAGACAGGAUUUUUUAAAACAAGUCUUUCAUAUAAAAUAAUGCUUGAGUUCUGCCUUGGCUCAACUGCCGUUUUAUUAUUUAUUAGUUUGCUGAGUGGUGAUGAGUUCUGAAAUUGGUGUGCUGGUGCAUUGUCUGACCACAUCUGAAGGGCUGGGGGAAAGAAAAUAUUUAUUUGGAUUGCAUUUAUGCUGUUCUGUUCUAUGCACCAAAGCGCUGGACUGUUUAAGAGAAGGGAUUGAUAAAUGAAAUAAAAGCAAACAUCUGGCUUUGGAAACUCUGAAA